This 645-nucleotide ribosomal RNA is filed under the name uncultured Enterobacteriaceae bacterium. RNAcentral's name for it is "bacterial SSU rRNA". It matches the Rfam family "Bacterial small subunit ribosomal RNA", at positions 749 to 1388 of the family's 1533-position model. Lineage: Bacteria; Pseudomonadati; Pseudomonadota; Gammaproteobacteria; Enterobacterales; Enterobacteriaceae. The record is from RNAcentral.
AGGUGCGAAAGCGUGGGGAGCAAAAGGAAAAGAUACCCUGGUAGUCCACGCCGUAAACGAUGUCGACUUGGAGGUUGUGCCCUUGAGGCGUGGCUUCCGGAGCUAACGCGUUAAGUCGACCGCCUGGGGAGUACGGCCGCAAGGUUAAAACUCAAAUGAAUUGACGGGGGCCCGCACAAGCGGUGGAGCAUGUGGUUUAAUUCGAUGCAACGCGAAGAACCUUACCUGGUCUUGACAUCCACGGAAGUUUUCAGAGAUGAGAAUGUGCCUUCGGGAACCGUGAGACAGGUGCUGCAUGGCUGUCGUCAGCUCGUGUUGUGAAAUGUUGGGUUAAGUCCCGCAACGAGCGCAACCCUUAUCCUUUGUUGCCAGCGGUCCGGCCGGGAACUCAAAGGAGACUGCCAGUGAUAAACUGGAGGAAGGUGGGGAUGACGUCAAGUCAUCAUGGCCCUUACGACCAGGGCUACACACGUGCUACAAUGGCGCAUACAAAGAGAAGCGACCUCGCGAGAGCAAGCGGACCUCAUAAAAGUGCCGUCGUAGUCCGGAUUGGAGUCUGCAACUCGACUUCCAUGAAGUCGGAAUCGCUAGUAAUCGUGGAUCAGAAUGCCACGGUUGAAUACCGUUCCCCGGGCCUUUGUACAC